This 812-nucleotide ribosomal RNA is filed under the name Epicoccum sp. P2-20. RNAcentral's name for it is "eukaryotic LSU rRNA". It matches the Rfam family "Eukaryotic large subunit ribosomal RNA", at positions 104 to 934 of the family's 3401-position model. The record is from RNAcentral. Lineage: Eukaryota; Fungi; Ascomycota; Dothideomycetes; Pleosporales; Didymellaceae.
ACAGCUCAAAUUUGAAAUCUGGCGUCUUUGGCGUCCGAGUUGUAAUUUGCAGAGGGCGCUUUGGCAUUGGCAGCGGUCCAAGUUCCUUGGAACAGGACGUCACAGAGGGUGAGAAUCCCGUACGUGGUCGCUAGCCUUUACCGUGUAAAGCCCCUUCGACGAGUCGAGUUGUUUGGGAAUGCAGCUCUAAAUGGGAGGUAAAUUUCUUCUAAAGCUAAAUACUGGCCAGAGACCGAUAGCGCACAAGUAGAGUGAUCGAAAGAUGAAAAGCACUUUGGAAAGAGAGUUAAAAAGCACGUGAAAUUGUUGAAAGGGAAGCGCUUGCAGCCAGACUUGCCUGUAGUUGCUCAUCCGGGUUUUUACCCGGUGCACUCUUCUACGGGCAGGCCAGCAUCAGUUUGGGCGGUUGGAUAAAGGUCUCUGUCAUGUACCUCCUCUCGGGGAGAACUUAUAGGGGAGACGACAUGCAACCAGCCCGGACUGAGGUCCGCGCAUCUGCUAGGAUGCUGGCGUAAUGGCUGUAAGCGGCCCGUCUUGAAACACGGACCAAGGAGUCUAACAUCUAUGCGAGUGUUUGGGUGUCAAGCCCGAGCGCGUAAUGAAAGUGAACGGAGGUGGGAACCUUUCGGGGUGCACCAUCGACCGAUCCUGAUGUCUUCGGAUGGAUUUGAGUAAGAGCAUAGCUGUUGGGACCCGAAAGAUGGUGAACUAUGCUUGAAUAGGGUGAAGCCAGAGGAAACUCUGGUGGAGGCUCGCAGCGGUUCUGACGUGCAAAUCGAUCGUCAAAUUUGGGCAUAGGGGCGAAAGACUAA